Molecule: long non-coding RNA, 749 nt
Organism: Triticum aestivum (bread wheat)
Lineage: Eukaryota; Viridiplantae; Streptophyta; Magnoliopsida; Poales; Poaceae
Exons: 3
Source: RefSeq, a predicted model, not a curated record
AUCGCAUCCCUCGCCUGCAUAGCACAGCGGUCGGCGGCGGCGGCGGCGGUGACAACGUCCGACGACGACGACGCCAAGAUAUGCGGUGCGGUGACCAAGAAAAUAAUGGCAAACCUUACUUGUCUCAUCAUCCAUAUCCAUUCUGACCUUGUACUGGCAUUGGAGAUGGACAACGGCUAGCGCACAACAUGCGGCCGGCGGCAGCUUGAGGACAAAGAUUAGAUCUGGUGACCAUCGUCUUGGCGUCAAUCGGUAAGAUUAGGGACAUGUGAGUAUCAAGGUACAUGCAUCAUUUUUCAUUGAUCAUUCGGUACUGCACGAGGUCUUCGCCGCCUGCGCCGAACGUUUGGAUCGAGCGAUCGCUGGAUGGGUCUCCAGUUCUUCUCCACUACAUGGUUAAUGGAAUCACAAGAUUAUUUCUUUGCCAAAGAAAGGGUGCCAAUUUAUAUGGGCCAGACAACAGGAACCUCUCACCGGUGGCGUCUGGCCAGCAACCACUUCUCUCAUUGCUUAAUGCAUGUAGAUUCGAUUUGGAGAACCAAGAGCUUUGUUCCACGCAUGAAGGCCAUAUUUGUAGCAAUACAUUUACGUACACUUGAUGAAGCAACAUGGAAAUCACUUGUAACACUUGAGUAGUAUAUAUGUAUAGCUCGUUGGAGGCUACGUAACAUAUAACAGUAUAUGUAAUCCUAUGAAACUAACAGUGUAUACUCAUUUGGUUAUCCUGAUGAUGUAUGCUAAGCAAUAUA